RNAcentral lists this transfer RNA (74 nucleotides) under Planctomycetaceae bacterium. RNAcentral's name for it is "tRNA-Ile". It matches the Rfam family "tRNA". From Rfam's summary of the family: Transfer RNA (tRNA) molecules are approximately 80 nucleotides in length. Their secondary structure includes four short double-helical elements and three loops (D, anti-codon, and T loops). Further hydrogen bonds mediate the characteristic L-shaped molecular structure. tRNAs have two regions of fundamental functional importance: the anti-codon, which is responsible for specific mRNA codon recognition, and the 3' end, to which the tRNAs corresponding amino acid is attached (by aminoacyl-tRNA synthetases). tRNAs cope with the degeneracy of the genetic code in two manners: having more than one tRNA (with a specific anti-codon) for a particular amino acid; and 'wobble' base-pairing, i.e. permitting non-standard base-pairing at the 3rd anti-codon position. The record is from RNAcentral. Lineage: Bacteria; Pseudomonadati; Planctomycetota; Planctomycetia; Planctomycetales; Planctomycetaceae.
GGGGCCGUAGCUCAAUCGGUUAGAGCAGCGGACUCAUAAUCCGUUGGUUGCAGGUUCGAGUCCUGCCGGCCCUA